GGCCACUUAAGGAGAGAUGGAUGUUGGGACUUCCUGUGGGUGUGAAGGGGCCUUUGUCCACUGGCUGCUGGGCUUCGGGCUUCUGCAUGUGCUCUGGGGUCAGUGCCACAUCAGACACGAGAUGCAUAUGCUUCAUCCCUUCUGCAAGUGUCUCUUCACCCUGUGGAUGCCGUCUGUCAGGCACCAUGCUGACUUCCACAAACCCACUGGGCCUCUCCUUUGUUUCCUGGGCUUUUGUCGUCACCAGGCAAGUACUGUCCACCAACACCAGGGAGCAUUGCCUCAGGCUUCUCUCCAGAGCCCAGGGCCAGGAGCCCCGUUCGGGUCUCCCACCAGCCCAGCCACUCGCUCAGGUCUCCCACCAGCCCAGCAGCUCAGGUCUCCCCCAAGCCCAGCCACUCGCUCAGGUCUCCCCCGGCCCAGCUGCUCUCCCACAGUGCAUUCAGCGGCUCCAACUUGCCGCUUUCCGUGCGGGAACCCGGUUCCCGGCAUGGUCAUUGCUCUUUCCUCCCCAGAUGUUUUGGCACCUCCUUGAUAAUCAUUUGGCCACUUGUGCAGAGCUUUGCUUCCGCGCUCCGCUCUGUCCCGUCGACCUGCACCACUACCUGCCACUGUGUUCCUGGUGGGGUGACCCUGGAGCGUGUGCCAACUUUCUGUCACUGCAGGUUUGUGUAGCUCUGGAGUCAGGAAGCACAGAUCAUUCUCUUUCUGUAGAGAUCCAGGGUCCCCGGAGGUUCCAUAUGGAGUUUAGAAUGAGUUUUUCUAUUUCUGUAAGAUCAUUGUUGGGACUGUUCUAGGGGGGCAUGGAAUGUGUAGAUCACGCUCCAUACUGUGAGCAUCCAGCCGCGAGUCUCCCCAUCUGUGAACUGGGGGUGAGCUUCCACCCCCAGACGGACUUCAC
This 901-nucleotide long non-coding RNA is filed under the name Marmota monax (woodchuck). The record is from RNAcentral. Lineage: Eukaryota; Metazoa; Chordata; Mammalia; Rodentia; Sciuridae.